Molecule: long non-coding RNA, 1336 nt
Organism: Gasterosteus aculeatus aculeatus (three-spined stickleback)
Lineage: Eukaryota; Metazoa; Chordata; Actinopteri; Perciformes; Gasterosteidae
Source: Ensembl
CAGCCCCCCCCUCGCUGUCCCCCACUCCCGCAAGCGUAAGAUCGCCUGCGCCGUGUGCAGCUGCACUCUCCCACAAGAGCCAGCUGCAGGAGCACAUGUACGCCCACACCGGCAGGCCGGCCCGCUACCACCGCUACAACCGCCUCUGCAGCCAGCUCUUCCAGGCCUCAGCCCACUUCUGCGAGGGCAGAACUGAGCCAGGGGGCGGGGCCUCAUCCGGCGGCAGCGCCCCGCUCCCUGAGGAGGUCAACAGGGAUAAUCAGGACAACGGCAGCUCCUGCUACUCGCUGGACUCCGAGGUCUCCCAGGAGAGCGUGGACGGGGUGCCAGUGGAGUGAUGUCAUCGCCCGGACCGCUGGUGUCUGCGUGCACCGGGAUCAAUGACGUGAUCAGUCGAUUGACAGGGACUCAAUCAACAAAUAUUUAUACAGCCCAUGGAUCGUUUUCAAUCAUUUUAUAAGAAAGCAAAUCGGGGACUUCUAAAUAUUAGUGUUUUCCUACGAUUCACUACAUUCACUUCUUUGUUAUCGAACAGACGAUCAAUAACGACUCCUGGUCCCGCCUCAUGGGUUUGUAGAAUCUUGAUUUUCCACAUUCACCAACGGACAGUGAAUGCCUCAUGUUGAGUUCAAACGCUCCGCUAAUGUACUACACGUGAUUAGUUGGGUGUGAAAACGUUUUAAUGUGAAAAGACGCAGCAGUGCCUUCUUGAAGUUGUUUGUGUUGUUUCCAUGACAAGAGUAGAGACUAAGAUUAAAAACAUCAAUAUUAUUGAUCAGUGCUUCAUUAUUGUUAUCAGAACGUUAAAACAAUAAAACAGGCGCUGAUUUAUUUAUUUUGAAAGGGUGUUGAACUUCCUUUAAUGUCACACAACCAAUCAUUGAUGAGGAGUUGAGAUGUCAUUGAUUAUUGAUGAAUGAAUGCAAGGUUAUUUAUUAUUGAUUGUGAAUGUUCAUUGUGGUCUCACUGUUAAAUAAAUCAGUGUUUUGUUUUAUACAAAAACGUUUUUUAUUUUCAUUAAUAGAUGAAGUCUUUUUUCCACCAAUCAGAAGCAGAAGGGAGCUUAUGUUACCUGAGAGUGCAGAGUGAGUGGAAGAAUUUAUUAUUAUAUUUUAUAAUUAUUUUUAUUGACCAUGUUUUUAGCACUGUCACCUUGUCACUUUUAAGUUCUUCUUGUAAAGAAUCUCAUAGGAAGUCCUUACUGGAAUACUAAAACAGCUCUAGUUUCUCUCCCUGAGGACAUCUGAAGCCUUUGAGGGUUCUUUCAUCUACGUCACAAUCAAAAGCUCUGCGUUCUGACUAGAACGCUGCAAAAUAAACUUCGGUCCAAGAGGAA